UUUGAAAGGGUAUUUUAGGGACUUAGUUUGAUCUGUGGAUAAAAGCGGCCAUUAUUUCUCCAGUGGAUUUGGAAGGAAAAUGGGAGGAUAAGGCAGUCAAUGUGAAAUGGAAAAAGUAAAAAACAAAAUAUUUUUCUAAAAAUUUAAUAACGUUUACCAUUGUAUUGAUUAACUUGAAUAGCUAGGGCGAAGGAAGUAAUAUCAGUUGAGCGCUUUUUAUGUUCAAUUUUCAUGGUUUGGUUUUGAUUUUUGUGGGUAGAAUCUGUAUUUAUGUGCGUGGUUUUCUUCCAUUUGCGUUUUUGUUAUAGAAAAAUGAGUUAAUUUCGGUGCUGUUUUGUUCCUGUUCAAUGCAUGUUUGUAUGGGUUGGUGCCUUUUGUUGUAGCUUGAAUGAAUUUUGCUUUGAUUUUGAUUUGAAAUGUUUAUUUUCAGUGAAUGAUUGUUUGUUGCUUGAUUUGAAUUUGCAUGUGAAUAUCAAAGAUUGGAAGUGUUAACGUGUAUUAUUUUGUUUGGUUGCUGAGAAAACUUAGUGAAAGAUAUGUUUUCUGUUCAUGCUGAAUUGCAAAAGAUGAUAUUUUUGCUUGGGUGUGAUAAAAUCUAGUGUUAGGCUUUCGUUUCUGUCUUUUGGUUUCAAUGUGUACUCGCUUUCAUGUCUUAAUUUUUUAUGGAUUGAUUUGCUUCCAUAUUGAAUUAUUUCAACUAUAGAGAAGUAACAUUUUGAAGCGUACUCGCUCUCACCCAGGCCUCAUUCGGGUGUAUGAUAUUGAUCAGGUCUACAUUAGUGAUUUUAUACCGUCUGAUAUUGCUUUCCUGUUUAAGGGAGAGUAUGAUAUUGUUCGGAAUUUCAUCCUUCACAGCCUUUAGUUGCAGAGCUGGGAGAAAACAAUGGACUGUCAUAGUCCUGGUCAAGGGCUGAUGCCUGCUAGUUUUAAGGUCAUACUGUUCCUCUGGAUGGUGAUGAUUCUACAACAGAAUUACUGGAUCCCAACAUUGGGGAGGCAGAAAUUGACCGUGUUGCACCAGUUGACUCUGGAAUAUGGUGGAUUAUAUUAUAAUGGGCAUCUGAAAAAUGCUCAGGUGAUCUCUCAGUUCUGGGGAGAAUUGAUGUACGAACUGGGAUUAAGAUGAUUCUGAGAUUGUGUCUUGGUGAUGGUUUUGACAUGUUCCCUACAUUAUUGGUUAUUAUUGAUGGUUCUUGCAUGAUAGAUCGUUGAAUGGGAAUUCAUGGUCACCCUCUCGAAAUGCAGGAAACCUGUGGUCUGUUGUCAGCAGUCUUGCCACUGCAGACCACUUUGCAUGCCGUAUUGGAUCUCAUUGAAACUAAAUGGUCAGAUUUAGUAGCAGACAUGCCAUUGAAGAUAUGUUAUCCUGCCCUUGAAGGUCAGGAGUGGCAAAUUAUCACAGGCAGUGAUCCUAAGAACAUCUUACCGUUGCGUGCAGUAAGAUGAAUAGACCAGAAAUUGCUGCAAAAGCUGUUCAGGUAGCUGAAAAAUGCAUAGCACGUGACAAGUGGCCUGAAUGUUAUGACACCAAAAGAGCAACAUGCGAUGGAAGACAAUCACACCCGUUCCAGAACUGGUCAAUUGCUUCAUUCCUUGUGGCAAAGCUUCUGCUUGCAGAUGGAACUGCUGCUAAAAUUUUAGUUAACUGAGGAUUCUGAGCCGGUCAACACUUUCUCUUGUAUGAUCAGUGCCAAUCCAAGGAGAAAUCACAGACAGAAGAAUCCGAACAAAACCUAUAUAUGUCAUAUGAGUUUAAGUCCACCUAAGACACUGUAGGAAUUCUCCUAAUUUAUCUGAAACGGCUACAUAGUCCUUAUUCUUGUAUCAUAGCAUUAUUUUGUAAAGAUUAUUUAUUCUGAUUUAGGAAUAACAUAGCUCUUGAAACGAUGGUACAUAAUAGAUAACAUUAUUUGCCUCA
This is an RNA transcript of Mangifera indica (mango), 1918 nucleotides long. It is a transcript of the gene named neutral/alkaline invertase 3, chloroplastic-like, with no coding region annotated. NCBI's taxonomy places the organism in Eukaryota, Viridiplantae, Streptophyta, Magnoliopsida, Sapindales, Anacardiaceae. The record is from RefSeq and is a predicted model, not a curated record. The transcript has 5 exons.